RNAcentral lists this transfer RNA (72 nucleotides) under Ictidomys tridecemlineatus (thirteen-lined ground squirrel). RNAcentral's name for it is "Spermophilus tridecemlineatus (thirteen-lined ground squirrel) tRNA". It matches the Rfam family "tRNA". From Rfam's summary of the family: Transfer RNA (tRNA) molecules are approximately 80 nucleotides in length. Their secondary structure includes four short double-helical elements and three loops (D, anti-codon, and T loops). RNAcentral also lists the same sequence under 1 other name. The record is from Rfam by way of RNAcentral. Lineage: Eukaryota; Metazoa; Chordata; Mammalia; Rodentia; Sciuridae.
GGGGAUAUAACUGUUAGUAGAGUGCUUGCCUCACAUGCAAAAGGUCCUGGGGUUCAAUCCCCAGCACCCCCC